Astatotilapia calliptera (eastern happy) is the source of this 82-nucleotide small nucleolar RNA. Ensembl annotates it as Small nucleolar RNA SNORD60. The record is from Ensembl. NCBI's taxonomy places the organism in Eukaryota, Metazoa, Chordata, Actinopteri, Cichliformes, Cichlidae.
AGCCACUGAUGACAAACUAAACAUUUUUUCUGACACCUCGUAUGAGAGCUAAGCUCCUGAUUCUAACGCUAAUCUGAGGCUU